Non-coding RNA from Draconibacterium orientale, 77 nucleotides. Lineage: Bacteria; Pseudomonadati; Bacteroidota; Bacteroidia; Marinilabiliales; Prolixibacteraceae. The record is from Rfam.
AAACACGGUUGGAAAAGAUUUAUCGUGAGAAGUCAGCCGAGGCCAUAGUACCAUAACCGACAACUUAUGGGAAGGGC